This 448-nucleotide ribosomal RNA is filed under the name uncultured bacterium. Its description in RNAcentral is "bacterial SSU rRNA". It matches the Rfam family "Bacterial small subunit ribosomal RNA", at positions 28 to 509 of the family's 1533-position model. The record is from RNAcentral.
GAUGAACGCUGGCGGCGUGCCUAAUACAUGCAAGUCGAGCGGCAGCACGGUCUUCGGACUGGUGGCGAGCGGCGGACGGCUGAGUAACGCGUAGGAAUAUACCCAAAGUGAGGGAUAACUGCCCGAAAGGGUGGCUAAUACCGCAUGUGGUCUUCGGACUAAAGCCUUCGGGCGCUUUGGGAAUAGCCUGCGUAAGAUUAGCUAGUUGGUGAGGUAAUGGCUCACCAAGGCGACGAUCUUUAGCUGGUCUGAGAGGAUGACCAGCCAGACUGGAACUGAGACACGGUCCAGACUCCUACGGGAGGCAGCAGUAGGGAAUUUUCCACAAUGGGCGAAAGCCUGAUGGAGCAACGCCGCGUGCAGGAUGAAGGCCCUCGGGUCGUAAACUGCUUUUAUGUGCGAAGAAUAUGACGGUAACACAUGAAUAAGGGUCGGCUAACUACGUGCC